This 303-nucleotide ribosomal RNA is filed under the name uncultured bacterium. Its description in RNAcentral is "partial 16S ribosomal RNA". It matches the Rfam family "Bacterial small subunit ribosomal RNA", at positions 507 to 808 of the family's 1533-position model. The record is from RNAcentral.
AGCAGUCGCCGCGGGAAUACGAAGGGUGCAAGCGUUAAUCGGAAUUACUGGGCGUAAAGGGUGCGUAGGCGGUUGUUAAGUCAGAUGUGAAAUCCCCGAGCUUAACUCGGGAACUGCAUUUGAAACUGGCAGGCUAGAGUCUCGUAGAGGGGGGUAGAAUUCCAGGUGUAGCGGUGAAAUGCGUAGAGAUCUGGAGGAAUACCGGUGGCGAAGGCGGCCCCCUGGACGAAGACUGACGCUCAGGUACGAAAGCGUGGGGAGCAAACAGGAUUAGAUACCCCAGUAGUCCCUGUCUCUUAUACA